CUGCCCGCUAGACAUGUACAUCUUACAAUCAUUCCAUACAACAAAUAUAGUAGACCUAUUGCAUAUAGUAUGAGAAAAACAGACCAAAACACAAAAAUUUCACUAUAACCACUGAACCAUGAAAAUGAGGUCAAGGUCAGAUGACACCUGCCAGUUGGACAUGUACACCUUACAGUCCUUCCAUACACCGAAUAUACUAGCCCUAUUGCUUAUAGUAUCUGAGAUAUGGACUUGACCACCAAAACUUAACCUUGUUCACUGAUCCAUGAAAUUAGGUCGAGGUCAAGUGAAAACUGUCUGACAGACAUGAGGACCUUGCAAGGUACGCACAUAUCAAAUAUAGUUAUCCUAUUACUUAUAAUAAGAGAGAAUUCAACAUUACAAAAAAUUUGAACUUUUUUUUCAAGUGGUCACUGAACCAUGAAAAUGAGGUCAAGGACAUUGGACAUGUGACUGACGGAAACUUCGUAACAUGAAGCAUCUAUAUACAAAGUAUGA
This 498-nucleotide long non-coding RNA is filed under the name Mytilus galloprovincialis (Mediterranean mussel). Lineage: Eukaryota; Metazoa; Mollusca; Bivalvia; Mytilida; Mytilidae. The record is from RNAcentral.